GUGAGGAAUAUUGGGCAAUGGGGGGAACCCUGACCCAGCCAUGCCGCGUGAGGGAAGUAGGCCCUACGGGUCGUGAACCUCUUUUGUCCAGGGACAAGGACGGCGUCGGGAACGUCGUUUGAGGGUACUGGAAGAAUAAGCAUCGGCUAACUCCGUGCCAGCAGCCGCGGUAAUACGGAGGAUGCGAGCGUUAUCCGGAUUCAUUGGGUUUAAAGGGUGCGCAGGCGGCCGGGCAAGUCAGCGGUGAAAGUCAGGGGCCCAACCCCGGAAGUGCCGUUGAUACUGUUCGGCUGGAAUGCGGUCGAGGCGGGCGGAAUGUGGCGUGUAGCGGUGAAAUGCGUAGAUAUGCCACAGAACGCCGAUAGCGAAGGCAGCUCGCCAGGCCUGCAUUGACGCUCGGGCACGAAAGCGUGGGGAUCGAACAGG
RNAcentral lists this ribosomal RNA (426 nucleotides) under uncultured rumen bacterium. RNAcentral describes it as "bacterial SSU rRNA". It matches the Rfam family "Bacterial small subunit ribosomal RNA", at positions 354 to 776 of the family's 1533-position model. The record is from RNAcentral.